GAUGAACGCUGGCGGCGUGCCUAAUACAUGCAAGUCGAGCGAACAGACGAGGAGCUUGCUCCUCUGACGUUAGCGGCGGACGGGUGAGUAACACGUGGAUAACCUACCUAUAAGACUUGGAUAACUUCGGGAAACCGGAGCUAAUACCGGAUAAUAUAUUGAACCGCAUGGUUCAAUAGUGAAAGACGGUUUUUCUGUCACUUAUAGAUGGAUCCGCGCCGCAUUAGCUAGUUGGUAAGGUAACGGCUUACCAAGGCAACGAUGCGUAACCGACCUGAGAGGGUGGGACGACAACACGGGAAGUGAAAACGGUCAAGGACACCACGGGGGGGAGGAGGGGGGAAUGCUCCCGAAAUGGGGAAAGGCCGGAGGAAGCACGGCGGGGGAAGGAAGAAGGGUUUACGAACCGAAAACUUUUUUUAUUGGGAAAGAAAAAAUGGUAAAGUAACAAUGCACGUCUGGACGGUACCUAAUAAGAAAGCCCCGGCUAACUCCGUC
RNAcentral lists this ribosomal RNA (498 nucleotides) under uncultured bacterium. RNAcentral describes it as "partial 16S ribosomal RNA". It matches the Rfam family "Bacterial small subunit ribosomal RNA", at positions 28 to 507 of the family's 1533-position model. The record is from RNAcentral.